AGUCUUCAAAGUUUUUUUUUUUUCAAUUUUUU
This 32-nucleotide small RNA is filed under the name Arabidopsis thaliana (thale cress). RNAcentral's name for it is "ATSL306500". Lineage: Eukaryota; Viridiplantae; Streptophyta; Magnoliopsida; Brassicales; Brassicaceae. The record is from RNAcentral.